This 457-nucleotide ribosomal RNA is filed under the name uncultured bacterium. Its description in RNAcentral is "bacterial SSU rRNA". It matches the Rfam family "Bacterial small subunit ribosomal RNA", at positions 28 to 498 of the family's 1533-position model. The record is from RNAcentral.
GACGAACGCUGGCGGCGUGCUUAACACAUGCAAGUCGAGCGGUAAGGCCCUUUCGGGGGUACACGAGCGGCGAACGGGUGAGUAACACGUGGGUGACCUGCCUUUAGCUCUGGGAUAAGCCUGGGAAACUGGGUCUAAUACCGGAUAUGACUCCAUGAUGCAUGUUGUGGGGUGGAAAGCCUUGUGCGGCUGGAGAUGGGCCCGCGGCCUAUCAGCUUGUUGGUGGGGUGAGGCCUACCAAGGCGACGACGGGUAGCCGGCCUGAGAGGGCGACCGGCCACACUGGGACUGAGACACGGCCCAGACUCCUACGGGAGGCAGCAGUGGGGAAUCUUGCGCAAUGGGCGAAAGCCUGACGCAGCGACGCCGCGUGAGGGAUGACGGCCUCGGUGUAACUACUUCUACGCUCGACGAACGCGACGAGUGACGGUAGGAGACGAGAAGAAGACGACCGGCC